GAUGAACGCUGGCGGCGUGCCUAAUACAUGCAAGUCGAGCGAACAGACGAGGAGCUUGCUCCUCUGACGUUAGCGGCGGACGGGUGAGUAACACGUGGAUAACCUACCUAUAAGACUGGGAUAACUUCGGGAAACCGGAGCUAAUACCGGAUAAUAUAUUGAACCGCAUGGUUCAAUAGUGAAAGACGGUUUUGCUGUCACUUAUAGAUGGAUCCGCGCCGCAUUAGCUAGUUGGUAAGGUAACGGCUUACCAAGGCGACGAUGCGUAGCCGACCUGAGAGGGUGAUCGGCCACACUGGAACUGAGACACGGUCCAGACUCCUACGGGAGGCAGCAGUAGGGAAUCUUCCGCAAUGGGCGAAAGCCUGACGGAGCAACGCCGCGUGAGUGAUGAAGGUCUUCGGAUCGUAAAACUCUGUUAUUAGGGAAGAACAAAUGUGUAAGUAACUAUGCACGUCUUGAUGGUACCUAAUCAGAAAGCCACGGCUAACUACAUG
This 497-nucleotide ribosomal RNA is filed under the name uncultured bacterium. RNAcentral describes it as "partial 16S ribosomal RNA". It matches the Rfam family "Bacterial small subunit ribosomal RNA", at positions 28 to 507 of the family's 1533-position model. The record is from RNAcentral.